GUGGGGAAUUUUGGACAAUGGGCGCAAGCCUGAUCCAGCAAUGCCGCGUGCAGGAAGAAGGCCUUCGGGUUGUAAACUGCUUUUGUACGGAACGAAACGGUUCUGGUUAAUACCCGGGGCUAAUGACGGUACCGUAAGAAUAAGCACCGGCUAACUACGUGCCAGCAGCCGCGGUAAUACGUAGGGUGCAAGCGUUAAUCGGAAUUACUGGGCGUAAAGCGUGCGCAGGCGGUUUUGUAAGCCAGGCGUGAAAUCCCCGGGCUCAACCUGGGAAUGGCGCUGGGGACUGAAAGGCUGGAGUGCGGCAGAGGGGGAUGGAAUUCCGCGUGUAGCAGUGAAAUGCGUAGAUAUGCGGAGGAACACCGAUGGCGAAGGCAAUCCCCUGGGCCUGCACUGACGCUCAUGCACGAAAGCGUGGGGAGCAAACAGGAUUAGAUACCCCAGUAGUCC
This 450-nucleotide ribosomal RNA is filed under the name uncultured bacterium. RNAcentral describes it as "partial 16S ribosomal RNA". It matches the Rfam family "Bacterial small subunit ribosomal RNA", at positions 354 to 796 of the family's 1533-position model. The record is from RNAcentral.